Molecule: ribosomal RNA, 253 nt
Filed under: uncultured bacterium
Lineage: Bacteria
Description: partial 16S ribosomal RNA
Rfam family: Bacterial small subunit ribosomal RNA
Source: RNAcentral
UACGAAGGGGGCUAGCGUUGCUCGGAAUCACUGGGCGUAAAGCGCACGUAGGCGGACUCUUAAGUCGGUGGUGAAAUCCUGGAGCUCAACUCCAGAACUGCCUUUGAUACUGAAGAUCUUGAGUCCGGGAGAGGUGAGUGGAACUGCGAGUGUAGAGGUGAAAUUCGUAGAUAUUCGCAAGAACACCAGUGGCGAAGGCGGCUCACUGGCCCGGUACUGACGCUCAUGUGCGAAAGCGUGGGGAGCAAACAGG